Molecule: long non-coding RNA, 1525 nt
Organism: Puntigrus tetrazona (Sumatra barb)
Lineage: Eukaryota; Metazoa; Chordata; Actinopteri; Cypriniformes; Cyprinidae
Exons: 2
Source: RefSeq, a predicted model, not a curated record
UAAUAAAAGAUUGCUAAAAGUUAUGUACGCUCACGUUAAAGUGCAAGGACUGUAUAAGCUACAUUUAAUCGUCAAUACCCUAAAUCACACACGUUUUUCCCUCUAAAUGCACGAAACAGCGAACUGAAAGUUUACAUAUCUAGGGGUUAUAUACAUGUGUUACGAUCUAAAGGAUCAAAAUAUCCUUUUUUUUUAAUCUCGAACAUCCUUAUUUGUUACCGGCCCAUAUCGCGACAGCAACAGAAACGCACGAACAAUGAAAUCUAAAUAUGCGUCGUGUGGGCACGUUUUUUCUGCGCUUUCUCGCACAGUAAUCUAAAACAAAUAUUUUGACGUGUGGUGUGCGGCAGUCAUUCAUUUCCAAACCAUAUCACAAACAGAGAGUGGACACGUUUCAGUCACGAAUUUGCAGCUAUAGCAACGUGCCAUAUUUUCUCGGAGAAGCAGUGCGCUCUUAUUUUAAAGUUCGUGCGACGCGGGCGCAUGGAUUGCCGUUAUUACGUCCGCAGAAUACAAAAGGACAUACGAUGAAAGAUAAAAUGGUGACUCUCUAAGGGUUUUCAUGGUCGAGCGGCAGCAGAAAUCCGUUAGAUCGGUGGGAGGAAACAGUCUAGUGCGCAGCGCCAAGAUUUUCAAAUUUAGGCGCUUUCAUCGUAUAAACCUUCACGAUUGUCUCCAAACUUACGCCGCGAGAGAAGACGACACUUGCGGGGUGUUCGGCGUUUCAAAACGCAAGGGCUUUUUUAUUUAUGAAGAUGUCAUGCAGUGAUCUUCUUCCUGUUUGCGCGGCUGCGUAAAACCUUUUAGAAACGCACGAUGCCUGCUCAAGCUUUUUUUUUUUUUUUUUUUGUUGCUCCAAAUCUAAUGAAUUACAUUUACGACAAUUAUUCAGCUCUCGGCGUGGUUUUAUAUCGACUGUCAACGUGGAAAAAGGAUCAGUUCGAUUUUAACCAAAAGAAGACACGAGGGAGCAUCAUGUGGCAGACCUUUCAUCUGCAUUUCACAAACUGUUUGCCCAUUCCUGUGUCUGAUUUUUUCCCAAGUGCCUGAUGUUUAAUUGCUCAACUGCAAUAUUUUGUUUUGUCCCAGUGAGGUCACCGAGUGUCAGAAUCUUUCAUCUUAGAAAAACACUUGUUUGUCAUUAUAUACUGACCCGGUCUAUUUAUGUCAUGUUUCACAUCAAUAUAACAUAAUAGUCUAUAGUCUGUGAUAAGUGCUUUUCAACCCCAUGCUUUUUUAAAAUACUAUUUUUAAAUGUAAUGUAUAUGUAAAAAAUACACCAUAAAAAGUGGUAACCUACAAUUAUUAACUUAAAGAGCUAUUACCUAUAAAAGCUAGCUUUGUUGAUAUAAAUUGAUAAAUAUAAGAUGGUUCCGUGAUAUUAAAUAGCAUUUUUGACUUGAACCGAACAAGCUAUUUUAGAUGUUUUAUUCAUUAUGUAGUAAUAAAAAUAAAUGGCUGACCUGUCUUGCAUUAUGUUUGAAAGUUAAAGCAGGAUGCUGAAUAAAACACCCAUUGCAUUACA